UCUCUCAAUCUCUCCUGGACGGUCGCCGGCACUAGCCCUCUCCCUCUAUCCUCGAAGGUCGACGGCACCGACCCUUUCUCCUUGAAUUAGACUGGAGCAGUGGAAGGCGAUACUGUUGGAAUCGAGAGAGCGGGAGAAGAAGUCAGUUCGAGUUUCAUUUGGAUCAAUCUUGAAAGCUUGGCUAUCGAAGGGGUAUUGUUCGGUUUUGUUGUGAGGAGGAAGAGGACCUGCGUUUUGGAUAACUGCGUUUUGAGCCAAGGAGAAGAUGAGGGACUUGGGUAUAGGGUUGUGAUCGAUACUUAGUUUUUGGGACGUGUUAGUGCAAUAAUGUUUGCGAGAAGAGGUCCAAGAGGCUGCGCUUAUGCAGAUCCAGAACGACA
Molecule: long non-coding RNA, 380 nt
Organism: Rosa rugosa (rugosa rose)
Lineage: Eukaryota; Viridiplantae; Streptophyta; Magnoliopsida; Rosales; Rosaceae
Exons: 3
Source: RefSeq, a predicted model, not a curated record